CAGCCGCCGCGGGAAUACGAAGGGUGCAAGCGUUAAUCGGAAUUACUGGGCGUAAAGGGCGCGUAGGCGGUUUGCCAAGUUAGAUGUGAAAUUCCCGGGCUUAACCUGGGGACUGCAUUUGAUACUGGCAGGCUUGAGUGUGGAAGAGGGUCGUGGAAUUCCCAGUGUAGAGGUGAAAUUCGUAGAUAUUGGGAAGAACACCGGUGGCGAAGGCGGCGACCUGGUCCAUAACUGACGCUGAGGCGCGAAAGCGUGGGGAGCAGACAGGAUUAGAUACCCCAGUAGUCCCUGUCUCUUAUAC
RNAcentral lists this ribosomal RNA (301 nucleotides) under uncultured bacterium. RNAcentral describes it as "partial 16S ribosomal RNA". It matches the Rfam family "Bacterial small subunit ribosomal RNA", at positions 509 to 807 of the family's 1533-position model. The record is from RNAcentral.